Molecule: non-coding RNA, 1026 nt
Organism: Biomphalaria pfeifferi
Lineage: Eukaryota; Metazoa; Mollusca; Gastropoda; Planorbidae
Source: the annotation of a GenBank genome assembly
UUGUAUUAGCACCCCAUGCCAGUCAGCACAUGUAUUAGCACCCCAUGCCAGUCAGCACAUACUAGAUUUGUUAUUCUUAGAGUCAGUUCCCAGGCUUUAUGUUUCUACAUCAUGUGUUAAAUGUUGACCUUUUUAUUAAUCCUAAGGACAACGAGUUGGUAAAUGGUACAAUACAACAAUCAAUGGACUCCUCUCUCAGUAGUGUAGUCACACCAUGAAACCCAAGAGAUCUAUGUGUAUGUACCAAGACAUAAACAUAGAACAUGACUUUGUGUAAGUUCUGUUUUCACUUUGACUCAGUUAUCAAUUGAUUUACUCAGCAAUAGCUCAAAGUAUUUGCCAGUUUCAACUUCUGAAAUGCUAGACCAGAAGUCAAUUCUGUUUCACUAGUCUACCUAGUUGUGUGUGUAUCUGACUGCUGUCCAGUGUUUAGGCUAGUUGUAUUUAACACUUGCUAUUUCUAAUAUUACUUGUACUGCACUGGAACAGGUAGUCACUGUUCUCUUACCAAAUCUUUGGUCACAUAGAAACCUUUUGUUUUUUUGUUUUUUAAUCUCUUUUUUACAUUUAUUUCUGUAUUUCAUGCAACAACUUUGUUUAGAUCUAGAUGAAGAAAUGUCUUCAAAUUUAUUUCCAAACCUUUGAACCUGACACACUAUGUUGACUACAUUUACAAGAAUAAAAUGUUUUGUUUUAGUGACUGUUGUUUAUUGUAGAAGCAGCAAAUAUUUGUUACUUCAUGAAAUAGUAGAAAGUGGCUGUUAAUGAGGACAGUACUAACAAUAUCUGAUUUUCUGUUUUGGUUUUCUUAGGAGUGUGUUUGUACCGUACAUAUGUAAUACUGAUGACUUGACAUUGAUUUAUACUAUACAUAUGUAAUACUGGUGACUUGAGAUUGGCUUAUACCAGUGUUUCUCAAACUUUUUUGUCUGCCAGCACAGUAAAAAAACUAAAAAAAAUUCGCGGCACACCAGGAAGAACAACAGAUAUUUUAUAAUAAAAUGAACAUUUAUUCGACCUGUUUUU